This is a non-coding RNA of Lonchura striata (white-rumped munia), 7932 nucleotides long. NCBI's taxonomy places the organism in Eukaryota, Metazoa, Chordata, Aves, Passeriformes, Estrildidae. The record is from RefSeq and is a predicted model, not a curated record.
UCCCUCCCUGCCCUGCCUCCCUGCCCUGCCUCCCUCCCAGCGCCAAGCUGGGGAGCAGAACAGCCCGGCGAGCGGCUCCGUGACCCGAAGCGAUCUGCCGUGUGCUUCCCCUGCGCCGGAGCCAAGGGCGAGGAAGCAGCCACAGCCCACGGGGCUGCUCUUGGGAUGGAGCCGAGCAUCCGCUGGGAAGGAGCCCCUGAGCACGGCACGGAUGGGUGAGGAUGCCAGUUGCCACCCUGCCACGUGUGUAAAGACUCUGCAGAAGUUUUGAAGCAAGGACUUCUGGGGAAGCCUGAGGUGGCUACGGAUACAACCACUGCCAGGUCUGCUGCGGCCAGACAGCUGGCCAUGAGGGCAGGGACAAGCCACCGGGGGGAGAGGAGCAGAAAGAUGGGAACCAUCUGUGACCCACCUCCCAUUUUCUAGCCCCAGAUGGUGAACUAGCUUCAGGCAUGUGGGGCUGUGCAAGAUUCUGCUCUUUGAGGAAUUAGGAUGAGGUAGGGGAUGUGGAGGGAAGCCAUCAGCCCUGGGAGAUAAGGAUGCUGAAGCUAUCAGGUUGCCAGCAGCGCCCAAGUGCACAAUGGUUUCCAGGUUUCCAGGAUAAUAUUUGCUCUGGUUUGGUUUGCUUUUCCAGACACUUUCUUUGCAGAUGAGUUCUUUUGGAUUUGUGCUGCCAGUCCCCACAAAUUUCUCCCUCCCUCCCUCCCUCCUUUCUCUGGAAUGAAGCAGGACAAGACCCAGGGCUCCUUUAUUUUCCUGCCCACUCCUCUCUUUAACACCUCCUCACUAAAUCCACUGGAUUUGAUACUUACCUUGUCUCCAGCAGACUGCAAGGGGCAAACCUCUGCUUUCAGCAUACCUGGGAGUCGUUCAGUGACACCACAGGGAUGCAGCUAUUGGUGUUCUCUGCAGUGGAGGCUUGUUGUCUCUUAGAUAUGCCAGGUCAUCAGAACACUUUCUGAUUAUGCCAUUUUUGGUAGAUGGCCCAAAGAAAAAUUGGCUGCUUUCUAGAGUGACAGCUAGAUUGCAGCCUGACAUGAAUGAAAAGCAUAGCAAGAUGGAACAGAUUGUUGCUCCAAGCCUUCUCUGCUGAUGUGUUAACUUUGGCAGCAUCAUUUGGAGAAAAAAGUGAAUUAAUCUUAUUGGAGUUGUGUACAAAAGAGACUGUGGGAAGGAACAGGGGGGGAAAAAAAAGGGAUGUGUGAAUCUAUGUUGAUUAUUUUGAAGCCAUAAACAAGUGGCAUCAGAAAAGAUUUUGACAACCAUAUGGACUUUCAGAAGUGUGAAAUUUUCUGAAAAUGAUGUGCAAUCAUGUAAGGGUUGGCAUAAAAGAAAAGAAGACAAGAUAUGGAUUGAUGAGAUGUACAGACAGAGACUGCAAUCUGUGAUACAGGAGUUAAGAUUCUGGGUACAUGAAAAAAUGUUACCUAGAAAAAAACUUUUAAUAUAAACUAAAUCAAAUUAAAUUAAGUUACAUAAGAGAAUGCUCUCAAAGAUAAUAGAAAUAACAGUCAAUCCUAUUUCUUAUUGCUGGUUUUCAGAACUAGACUCUGGGGAACAGCAGUCUCAGGAUUGAGCAACAGCUUUCCACUGAAAUAAUAAUUGUUUUUCUGGGAAGCUUCACUGGAGAUGCCACAUGCAAUCUGGAUUUUACACAGGGCAAAAACCACAGGUACAAGAGUGCAGGUCCUGCUGAGGGGCUUCAGCUGCUGUGCUGGCUGAUGUCUGGAACUGCCAUGGCAGUGCAAGGUGUUCUCCAAGGUGACACUUUUAUCCCAGAGCUUGGAAGUGCUGAGAGGCAAGUGGGAUGACAAGAAAGCAGAUUAACAAAUUUUGUACAUUUGGUGCAGCACGUUUCCACACAAGCUGUAUGUGCAUGUGGCAGGGACAUCCGCAUGGGCCACGUGAGGGUGUGAGAUGUGACACACACCAGAGGAGGUAAGUGCUGCUCUGCUGCCCUGGGGAAGCAACUCAUCAGAUCUGGGCAAGAGCCACCAUGCUGUCUGAGAUCUUACCUGCUAGGAGAAGAGACACUUGAGAGGUCUGGGCUCUCUCUGGGGACUAAGUUUAAAUGCUGGCACUCUGAGCCUUUUUACAACCUGACUGAUGCCUUUCCUCUAAGUUAUCAUAGUGCACAAUAAUAUGAGACAUAAAUUGCAGCAAAAUACUUUUCAGAUUUGAUUUAUAAAUGGUUCUGAUUUGCUUCUGAUUUCAGCUUCCCCUGUGGCAGCGUUCCAGGUCCAGAUUCAGGUUUGCAUUUCUUGUCUUGUCGCAUCACGAGAGAAUGGGAAAAGCAGAUGGAAGGUGAAAAACUGGGAAUGGAAAACAAACCAGCUAUGCCAUCUUAAAGAAGCAGAAGAAAAGUAGGCUGAACUCUCAGAUGAGAAAAUAUUUUUCUGGGAAAACACACAUCAGGGCAAGAGUUAGUUUUUAUGUAUAAAUAGGGGUGUAUGAUGGGAUUAAAUAGAUAUUAAAUUAAUCUGUUUGCAUAAUUUGAACAUUGAAAAAGUCCAGCAUCUCUGCACUGUAUAUCAUGUACACUAUCCCAUAGUCUGAUACUUUGAGUCCUCUUCCCAUUCUGCAAUAUUUCCAUUAGACCUCAAUCUUUAAGAAGUCAAUACACACCCAAAAAUGUUCAGACACAUCUUAGAUUUUUUGAUAUAUGUCUUCUAAGUAUACCCUUCCUUUCCUUCCUUUUGCCUUUCACCAUACAAUCUUUUGUUGUUUGGUGACAUUAGCACAGUCACCAGUAAAUGUAGUGCCUCAUAAUCUCUUUCCACCACUGAAGGUGGUACUUGGAGUUAGCCCUAAGAGGUUCCAGCAAGGAAGUGCCACUUAAGAGAAUGUGAUGAACUGUAUAGAGGACCUUUAUUUUGCUAUUUGAAAAGAAAACUGAGGAUACUUUAAGAUUCCAUGAUCUGCAUUUUCAGACUUUGGAGUGACAAGCCAAAAGAAAAGCAUAUCAAGACCCCCCCCCCCCCCCCCUCCAUUAUUCUUUAUUUAAUGAGGUAUGGGGUUUAACUGAGGAAUUUAAAUGAUUGACUGAGAAGUAUUUGAAAUUCUUGAGGGUCAUAAGGAUCAAGGCAAAUGGAUCAAUCAAAAAUAAUUACUUUUGACACUGUGACAACAGCUAGCGCUUUCUUUUUUCCCUCAAUCUAUGAAUAUUUUUUCUCUUCUUGAAAUGCUGAAGUAAAGAGUCUUAUUUUCCAACGAACUGCAACAUUAAAUGUCCCCAUAUUUGAAAAAAGCACUUAAAGAGGCUAUAGCUGUUUUAAAAAUUUCUUAAUUCAGGAUCCAUUCAUUCAUUCAUUCAUUAACUGGUCCUUUGACACUUUUUCCUAAUUAAUAGAGUUGUUAUGAGACCAAGCAGCAACAAAUAGACAUUAAGCAUGGAGGGGAAAAAGCACUGAGAAAUAAAUGUUUUACAUUUAAUUACAACCGUCAUGCAGAGAUCAUAUGUGCUGUGCCACAUCUCAAGCAGAAUCAGUGCGUUGUUGUGCCUUUGAAGAAGCAAUCUUCACCAGACCAAUUCUCUUUUUAACACUUUUUCUUUUCUAUUGUCAUAGUGUAGUGUUUGUGUGAAACAAAAUAGUUUAACAGUUUAAUUUUGUUUUAUUCCAGAAAACAGAUAUACUGUUUCCAAACAUACAACCUCGGGGGCUGGGAAUAUGACAGUGCUGGGAGUCCCAACGUGAAAAGCAACUCUGGACAAAAGUGCACAGAGAACAACUCUAGAUGAAAGAUCAGCAGCCAUCCUGUAGUGAAUGGCACAUGCCUCCUGUGUGGCUUCACACAAGACCCCCAGCCAUAGCCAUGCAGUGUUCCAGUCCCAAGGAAAAAUUUGAGAAUAACCUUGUGUCACCAAGCAUAGCUCUAAUAUAGUCCCACUUACUAUGGAGAAACAUAAACAAAACAAUCUUAUUUUAUUAGAUGCCUAUUCCAGCCGACUUCUGUUUAAAGCAGUGCACUUUUUCUGUAGGAAUUGGCUCUGUAUUACAGCCCUGAAAGCUCAGCUUGAAGUCAGCUCUCUUUUCCUGCCUGUUUUCAGCUGCGUCAGAAAAAGCUAAUGGCUGGGUACCAGGCAAACUGCACACUGAUACAAGAGAGUUCAGCUUCCCAAAAUUACUGCCUCUCUGGGGAAUAUUUUAACUCUCUUGAUCUCCAAGGACUACCAUGCCUCAGAGAGGAAUGCAUCAGAGUUGAGGGGGAAAAGAGAAGAAUUAGCUUGGAAAGCAAACAAACUAUCCUGGAAACCAACACUUGUUCACGUGAGUACAUGCUUGCCUACUCCCAUGGCCUGAGCUGGCUUUUGGCUCUACUCUUUGGAGCAGUCUGAACAAAGGUAAACCCUAAGCAGUGAAUCCCACUACACUCAGAGGACUGCAGGUGCCCUGAUCACCACUUUAAAUAAAGAAAUUCCAUGUAGCUCCUUUGAGAAUUUGCCUUGCGUUAGCCAAGUCAGGAUCAGCAAGUUAACUUUUCAGGAUUCCAUUUCUGGGACAUUCUAUUCCCCUGACUUUUGGUCUGCUAUUUUCUUGUUCUUGACAUCUGUAUGAACAUUUUCAACAAUACAGAAUAAAAAAAAUUAAAUUUUAAAGUUGUUUCCCUGAGCUGUAAGGGUGAUCCUGUCAGCCUGCCUUGAUCUAAUGCAUAUAAGGCCCGGGUGACCAUCACAAAUAUGACAACAUUUCAAAAGCCAUGGUCCUGCAGAGCUGAGGUUCUGUGAAGAGCCUGCAGACAGCCAGUCCUGCUCCAUACUUCCCAAAAAAAUUUCAUUCUACUAUCUUGGAUCCCUACUCAAAUGCUGGGCCAUGCUACUGUUAGAAGGAUCAAGAACCAGAGCUGUUAGCACCCAGCAUUAACACUGGGUAGGAAUUCUCUUGGCUCUGCAGUAAGGUUUCCUGCCACCUCACAUGCCCAGUUUUCUCUAUUGCUUUAGCAGAGGAUGGACAGAGCCCGGCAGAGUGGAGCACCAUCACCUCCCAACACCUGUGACUCAGAGGGGGCAACUGUUCCCAUGGGACUGAAACCCCACUUUUUAAUGGCAAGCACAUCUAAUAUCCCCUUCUAGGAGUGUGUGUGGAGAUUCCUCCCUUGGCUGAGGACUCCCCCAAGGCUGAGAAGAAUAGAUUUGCCAGCAGUUGUUAGUAUGGCUGCAGCUUUGCACAGCAGCCUCCCCGCUGCAUGUUUGAAGCUGUAUCUGCCGUGGCUCGCCCACCCCACGGAGCACAGACCUCCCUCCAUGGAGCACAUGCACCAGCAGAUAAUCCAGAUCAGUUUACCUCUGCGUACCUGGCAGCACGCUACUGUGCACUGACCAAAUAUCAGAAGAGUUUGUGGUUAAUUAGGAUCAGAUUAAUCCCUGCUGACUGCCUGUCUCUGUGUAAAAAGGGCACUAGAGGUUAGAAAGUAUUAAGUACCUUAAAUGUCUACUUGCAUAAUGUAAAAAAUUACUGAAGAUCCAGACUUUGUGUUUGAAAGUGUUGAUGUGAAAUAAUUUACCCCUAGAGGCAUUUAAAUGUGCUUCUUAUCCUAUCAAAGCAAAAGAAUCCAUUAAUAAUUUUCCAGGAUAAAAUGUAAUAAAUAUUUGUCCAUGGAAAAUAAUAAACCUGCAGAACAGUGGAGGCAUCUACAAAAAAGUGCCUUAGAGAUUCUGAACAUUAUUUCCAACUCAAAGAACUUAGCCCAGCAUAUAAAGUAUCAUUUUUAUAGAUGCAGUAAAGCUUUUCUAUGAUACAAUUGUGCAUAGUUUUCAAUUUUAUUAGUUCCUAUUUAUCAUAAGAAUACAGCAGGUAAUAAUUAGAUAGUUUCAGAUAUACACCCAUCCUAUGGUAUUCCCCAAGGACCCCAGAGGUCUUCACAGGAAAGACAUAUUUCCAUGUUCUUAUAUGCUCAAAUUACUUAACACAUUUGUGACACUAAAAUGUAGAUUGUAUUUGGUUGGGAUCCUUUGCUAUGUGAUUAUUGGACAUGUCAGAAUAUAGAUAACUUUUGUACUUUUCUCUUUAAAUAAGGAAAGAUCCUGAGAUUGAUUUAAAAACUGAGCUGAUAGGAGGACGAUUUUUAGAGGCAAGACACAUAAAUAAAGGAUCUGUGGGUCUGUGAGAAGUGUCAACUUUACACACAUCUUCACAUAUCCUGAUAGGUCAUUGGGCCUUUUUCUUUCUUAUUUUUUGUUACUGGCACAUUUAUGUAAGUAUUGGGAACACUUACAUAAUAACAGGAUAUUAGCUUAAUUUGAGGUCAUCUGUUCUUGUGACUUACUCCCCAUUUACAGUCAUAAGCUUCUCAUUGUGACAUCACCUUGGUGGCCUCAGCAGUACCUGUGAUGUCACCAAAAGGGAUUAUAACCUGAAGCUGUGAGGGCAAAUCAGCUUCUGGAGAAUAAAGGUUUUUUGUUUUGCCCUGCUAGCAGAAGGACAUGGAAACACCCACCCACCCUUUCUCCCCUGCCUGUCAUGGUGGAACAGGACAUUUCACCACACAGGCUGGGAAUCCGAGAGUGGGGCUGCCAGAGUAAGAGGGUUUGCUUAGUUUCAGUGAACUUGUGUGCAGUGAAGUUCAUGCAGGAAGAAAUAUGUGCAACCUGUGCAAACACACUUUGUGUGUGAAGCACACAGCCAUGCCUCUCUGCCCAGCUUGGGGACACAUCACAAGCUGUGGUGGCCUAUGCAAAGCCAUGUUCUUCCACGUUAUUCACUCCAUAAAUUCCCGUUUCAUCUCAACCGUCUUGCCUACUCAACCACAUCCCUCUUUCUGAAAACCAGAUUUCUUAUAAGAAGUCAGCACUGCAACUUCAUAAACAUCUUUAUGUUUUCAUCUUCUGUUUGGUUCCCUGUCAUUUCAGUCAGACCAGCAGCAGAAACUUCAGCUGGCAAUGUGCUCAUAUGAGGACCUUGUCCUAUGUCAUUUACUUGGCAUCAUUCACUUGGCACUGUAAGAGCCUGUGACAGACAGUUAGACAAGCAUUUGGGGGUAUCAGUUUUUAACUUACUUUGUAUUCCAUAUCAACAGCAAAUGCAUUUAAUUUGUUGGUUUGUGGAGUUGUCUGGGAGGAAAAUAUGCUGCCACAGCACUGCUCCCCACUCCUGCUUUGGCUCGCUGGCAUGUCUUGUCUGAGUGUGAAACUCCACUAGGCCCCAUGCAGGGUACUGACCCUAUCUCAGGAGAAUUUUAAGUCUGCAGAUGCCAAAAGGGUGACAUUUGAGGGCAGAGAUGGCAUCUCACAGACUCGCAAGUGAAAUCUGGACAUGCUGAUGCAUCAGCUCUGAGCCACUGCAGUCAGCUAAGCAGCUGAUCUGUGACAGCAGUGCUCACAGGUCAGCUGUGCACAGACAGGCUCUUAUCAUACAUCCAGAGUCCACAGGGAAGAGACUUUACUACUAAGAUCUUCAUAUAACACUGCAGAAAAUAUAUACACAGUGAGAUUAUCUCUUUGGACCUCAUGCAUCAUUUUCCUGGUGCUCCUUAAGCUGUCUUCCCUAUGACACAUGCAUAGGAUAACUAUUGCAUUACAACAAGGAUGUGCAAAAUCUUCAGUCUUCCCUCAAUCAGAUUUCCUUCCUUUUUUCUUUUUAUUUUUUUUUAAUUCAAAUAAAUUUCAUCAACCUGAAAAAAUAAGUGGCCUUUAGUCUCAUAGUUUCUCAUCCCUUUUUAAUUUUGUCUAUUAAAAAAUGCACUAUGAGAACAGUCACUGUCAGUUAGAAAACUGCUUGAUUUGGGCUCUUACUUAGCCUUCACUUCUGUGUGUGGGAACACCUGUCACCUCACCUGUGUUAUGGCAUUAACCUCAUCCAGUGGAAGUGGAACUCCUGUUUGCUUUGCUUCACACCCCAGAAAAGCACUGUUCUUCCCACAGCAGAAGACAUCACAUAACACUUUAGAAACAUCUACCCCUUGCAAACUUGAACUUCACCCCUGCACUAAUUUCUC